Molecule: non-coding RNA, 83 nt
Organism: Canis lupus familiaris (dog)
Lineage: Eukaryota; Metazoa; Chordata; Mammalia; Carnivora; Canidae
Source: Rfam
ACCUGGGUGGCUCAGUGGUUGAGUAUCUGCCUUCAAUUCAGGUUGUGAUCCUGGGGUCCUGGGAUCGAGUCCCACCUUGGGCU